This 375-nucleotide ribosomal RNA is filed under the name uncultured bacterium. RNAcentral's name for it is "bacterial SSU rRNA". It matches the Rfam family "Bacterial small subunit ribosomal RNA", at positions 524 to 898 of the family's 1533-position model. The record is from RNAcentral.
UACGGAGGGUGCAAGCGUUAAUCGGAAUUACUGGGCGUAAAGCGCACGCAGGCGGUCUGUCAAGUCGGAUGUGAAAUCCCCGGGCUCAACCUGGGAACUGCAUCCGAAACUGGCAGUCUAGAGUCUUUUAGAGGGGGGUAGAAUUCCAGGUGUAGCGGUGAAAUGCGUAGAGAUCUGGAGGAAUACCGGUGGCGAAGGCGGCCCCCUGGACAAAGACUGACGCUCAGGUGCGAAAGCGUGGGGAGCAAACAGGAUUAGAUACCCUGGUAGUCCACGCCGUAAACGAUGUCGACUUGGAGGUUGUGCACUGGAGGCGUGGCUUCCGGAGCUAACGCGUUAAGUAGACCGCCUGGGGAGUACGGCCGCAAGGUUAAA